Molecule: long non-coding RNA, 332 nt
Organism: Quercus robur (English oak)
Lineage: Eukaryota; Viridiplantae; Streptophyta; Magnoliopsida; Fagales; Fagaceae
Exons: 2
Source: RefSeq, a predicted model, not a curated record
AGAAUAGAGUAGCCUUGCACUACUGGUCUGCUAGCAAAAUCACUACGGGUUCUAAACUGAUCAUUAACAUAAAUGUGCUAACGGUUUUGCUUUUGUUGGAGGAUUAUUAGCAAGUCCACAAAAUCAGGUAAAGGUAAAGGCAAAGGAAUAGAAGUGAGCACACCAAAUGAACAUACAUGGAUUUGGGUGUACAUGGCAUAUGAUUUAAGAAAUUGUAUAUUAAUUGCAUACAUAAUGCUACCUUCAGCAAAAUUAAUCAAAUAAUGUAGUAUGAAGUCCCAUAAAAUUGUGCCACUUCUUUUCUUAGGUUAUUAUAAGCAAGAUUCCAACCA